This 1843-nucleotide ribosomal RNA is filed under the name human gut metagenome. Its description in RNAcentral is "bacterial LSU rRNA". It matches the Rfam family "Bacterial large subunit ribosomal RNA", at positions 594 to 2461 of the family's 2925-position model. The record is from RNAcentral.
UGACGGCGUGCCUUUUGCAUAAUGAGCCUGCGAGUUGUGGUCAUUGGCGAGGCUAAGAGCCGAAGGUUCGGAGCCGGAGCGAAAGCGAGUCCGAAGAGGGCGUAUAGUCGAUGGCUGCAGACGCGAAACCGGGUGAUCUACGCAUGGGCAGGCUGAAGGCUGGGUAACACCAGCUGGAGGGCCGAACCGGUAAGCGUUGAAAAGCUUUCGGAUGACCUGUGCGUAGGAGUGAAAGGCCAAUCAAACCCGGAGAUAGCUCGUACUCCCCGAAAUGCAUUUAGGUGCAGCCUCGGUAAAGACCGACGGAGGUAGAGCGACCGAUAGGGUGCGAGGGCUUCGCCGCCUAUCAAGCCCUGACGAACUCCGAAUGCCGUCGGUUGCUUACCGGGAGUGAGGGCGCGGGUGCUAAGGUCCGCGUCCGAAAGAGGAACAACUCAGACCACCGUCUAAGGCCCCGAAAUCCGGGCCGAGUUGAAGCCAAUAACGAGGUGGGACCGCAUAGACAGUUAGGAUGUUGGCUUGGAAGCAGCCAUUCAUUCAAAGAGUGCGUAACAGCUCACUAAUCGAGCGGUCCCGCGUGGAUAAUAAUCGGGCAUAAGUCCGGUGCCGAAGACGUGGAAUCAACCUUGAAGGUUGAUUGGUAGGGGAGCAUUCUGCCGCCGGUGAAGGAGGGCCGCGAGACCCUCUGGAGGUUGCAGAAAAGCAAAUGCAGGCAUAAGUAACGACAAAGGGGGCGGGAAACCCCCUCGCCGGAAGGCCAAGGUUUCCUGAUCAACGCUAAUCGGAUCAGGGUAAGCCGGGACCUAAGCAAAAGCCGCGAGGCGUAUGCGAUGGACAAACGGUAAAAAUUCCGUUGCCUCCGGUUUGAGAGCCCCGUUGAUGACGGAGGAGCGAAAGACGCGCGUGCUGACGGAACAGCACGUUAAAGGGAAGUAGCCUUAUGGUGAAGCCCGACAGUACACAGAGGCUUCGGCCGAAGUGAUAGCCGUACCGUAGCAGACUCCCGAGAAAAGUCAGCGAGAGGCGCUUGAUCAAACCGGGGCCCGUACCGAAAACCGACACAGGUGGCCGGGUAGAAAAUACUGAGGCGCUCGAGAGAUUCACGGUCAAGGAACUAGGCAAAUUGGCCCCGUAACUUCGGGAGAAGGGGCCCUCGUUUAGCAAGCGAGGCGCAGAGAAUAAGUCCAGGCAACUGUUUAGCAAAAACACAGGGCUGUGCCAAGCCGCAAGGCGCUGCAUACAGGCUGACACCUGCCCGGUGCCGGAAGGUUAAGCGGAGCUGUCAUCGCAAGAGAAGCAGUGAAGUGAAGCCCCGGUAAACGGCGGCCGUAACUAUAACGGUCCUAAGGUAGCGAAAUUCCUUGUCGGGUAAGUUCCGACCUGCACGAAUGGUGUAAUGAUCCGGACACUGUCUCGACCGUGAGCUCGGUGAAAUUGUAGUAUCGGUGAAGAUGCCGAUUACCCGCAACGGGACGAAAAGACCCCGUGAACCUUUACUGCAGCUUAGCAUUGGGGCCGGGUGUGCGAUGUGUAGGAUAGUCCGGAGACAGCGAAGCCGGGACGCCAGUCUCGGUGGAGUCGACGUUGAAAUACGGGCCUUCGCACAUUUGGCUUCUAACUUGCGAUGCAAGGACAUUGCUUGGCGGGUAGUUUGACUGGGGUGGUCGCCUCCAAAAGCGUAACGGAGGCUUCUAAAGGUGCCCUCAGGCCGAUUGGCAACCGGCCGCAGAGCGCAAUGGCAUAAGGGAGCUUGACUGUGAGACCAACAAGUCGGACAGGUAGGAAACUUGAGCAUAGUGAUCCGGCGGUUCCGUAUGGAAGGGCCGUCGCUCAAAGGAUAAAA